UUGGGUAGGGGAGCGUUCUGUAAGCCUGCGAAGGUGUGCUGUGAGGCAUGCUGGAGGUAUCAGAAGUGCGAAUGCUGACAUAAGUAACGAUAAAGCGGGUGAAAAGCCCGCUCGCCGGAAGACCAAGGGUUCCUGUCCAACGUUAAUCGGGGCAGGGUGAGUCGACCCCUAAGGCGAGGCCGAAAGGCGUAGUCGAUGGGAAACAGGUUAAUAUUCCUGUACUUGGUGUUACUGCGAAGGGGGGACGGAGAAGGCUAUGUUGGCCGGGCGACGGUUGUCCCGGUUUAAGCGUGUAGGCUGGUUUUCCAGGCAAAUCCGGAAAAUCAAGGCUGAGGCGUGAUGACGAGGCACUACGGUGCUGAAGCAACAAAUGCCCUGCUUCCAGGAAAAGCCUCUAAGCAUCAGGUAACAUCAAAUCGUACCCCAAACCGACACAGGUGGUCAGGUAGAGAAUACCAAGGCGCUUGAGAGAACUCGGGUGAAGGAACUAGGCAAAAUGGUGCCGUAACUUCGGGAGAAGGCACGCUGAUAUGUAGGUGAAGUCCCUUGCGGAUGGAGCUGAAAUCAGUCGAAGAUACCAGCUGGCUGCAACUGUUUAUUAAAAACACAGCACUGUGCAAACACGAAAGUGGACGUAUACGGUGUGACGCCUGCCCGGUGCCGGAAGGUUAAUUGAUGGGGUCAGCGCAAGCGAAGCUCUUGAUCGAAGCCCCGGUAAACGGCGGCCGUAACUAUAACGGUCCUAAGGUAGCGAAAUUCCUUGUCGGGUAAGUUCCGACCUGCACGAAUGGCGUAAUGAUGGCCAGGCUGUCUCCACCCGAGACUCAGUGAAAUUGAACUCGCUGUGAAGAUGCAGUGUACCCGCGGCAAGACGGAAAGACCCCGUGAACCUUUACUAUAGCUUGACACUGAACAUUGAGCCUUGAUGUGUAGGAUAGGUGGGAGGCUUUGAAGUGUGGACGCCAGUCUGCAUGGAGCCGGCCUUGAAAUACCACCCUUUAAUGUUUGAUGUUCUAACGUGGACCCGUGAUCCGGGUUGCGGACAGUGUCUGGUGGGUAGUUUGACUGGGGCGGUCUCCUCCUAAAGAGUAACGGAGGAGCACGAAGGUUGGCUAAUCCUGGUCGGACAUCAGGAGGUUAGUGCAAUGGCAUAAGCCAGCUUGACUGCGAGCGUGACGGCGCGAGCAGGUGCGAAAGCAGGUCAUAGUGAUCCGGUGGUUCUGAAUGGAAGGGCCAUCGCUCAACGGAUAAAAGGUACUCCGGGGAUAACAGGCUGAUACCGCCCAAGAGUUCAUAUCGACGGCGGUGUUUGGCACCUCGAUGUCGGCUCAUCACAUCCUGGGGCUGAAGUAGGUCCCAAGGGUAUGGCUGUUCGCCAUUUAAAGUGGUACGCGAGCUGGGUUUAGAACGUCGUGAGACAGUUCGGUCCCUAUCUGCCGUGGGCGCUGGAG
This 1451-nucleotide ribosomal RNA is filed under the name Shigella sonnei. RNAcentral describes it as "partial 23S ribosomal RNA". It matches the Rfam family "Bacterial large subunit ribosomal RNA", at positions 1224 to 2659 of the family's 2925-position model. Lineage: Bacteria; Pseudomonadati; Pseudomonadota; Gammaproteobacteria; Enterobacterales; Enterobacteriaceae. The record is from RNAcentral.